Oncorhynchus tshawytscha (Chinook salmon) is the source of this 392-nucleotide long non-coding RNA. The record is from Ensembl. Lineage: Eukaryota; Metazoa; Chordata; Actinopteri; Salmoniformes; Salmonidae.
GUAGUCCCAGGUGUUGGAGCCUAGUGGACUGGUGUUACAGUAGUCCCAGGUGUUGGAGUCUAGUGGACAGGUGUUACAGUAGUCCCAGGUGUUGGAGCCUAGUGGACUGGUGUUACAGUAGUCCCAGGUGUUGGAGUCUAGUGGACUGGUGUUACAGUAGUCCCAGGUGUUGGAGCCUAGUGGACUGGUGUUACAGUAGUCCCAGGUGUUGGAGCAGCGCAGUCUCUAAUAGAGUGAGAGGAGACAAAGGUACCGUUUGUGACAGAGACAGACAGAAAAUCAACGUACUUAAGGCUGUGUGUGCACUGCAAUGAAUGUUGUCUAUGGUGAUUGCGAGCUAUGGGCAGGUCAGCAUCGUAGAUGAGCGAUGCACAAAAUACAAACAUUUCCGU